This 279-nucleotide ribosomal RNA is filed under the name uncultured bacterium. Its description in RNAcentral is "partial 16S ribosomal RNA". It matches the Rfam family "Bacterial small subunit ribosomal RNA", at positions 506 to 784 of the family's 1533-position model. The record is from RNAcentral.
UGCCAGCAGCCGCGGUAAUACGAGAGGCCCGAGCGUUAUUCGGAAUCACUGGGCUUAAAGGGUGCGUAGGCGGACUGCCAAGCAUCUCGUGAAAUCCCUCGGCUCAACCGAGGAAUUGCGGGGUGAACUGGUAGUCUUGAAGAAGGUAGAGGCGAUCGGAACGUUCGGUGGAGGGGUGAAAUCCGUAGAUAUCGAACGGAACGCCAAAGGAGAAGUCAGGUCGCUGGGCCUUUCUUGACGCUGAGGCACGAAAGCGUGGGGAUCAAACAGGAUUAGAUA